CUGCAAAUUCUUAAAAAAUAAAAUUUUGGGUAUUUUUAUUGAACUCAAAUAGAAGUAACCAACCUAGCUAGGUGUUUUGACCUAUUUUGCCUAUAAAUAGAAGCAGUGAGGAUAGGUUAGGUUAAGAGAAGGAUAGAUAGACUAGAAAGAGAGGAAGAGGAGGAUAAGCGGAACGGAACUUGGAUAAAGAUUAUGGGUUUCAUUUGAAUCAUGCAGUAACUUC
Molecule: long non-coding RNA, 223 nt
Filed under: Elaeis guineensis (African oil palm)
Lineage: Eukaryota; Viridiplantae; Streptophyta; Magnoliopsida; Arecales; Arecaceae
Description: long non-coding RNA (EGUI_LNC074717)
Source: RNAcentral